GAGUUUGAUCGUGGCUCAGAUUGAACGCUGGCGGCAUGCCUUACACAUGCAAGUCGAACGGCAGCACGGGAGCUUGCUCCUGGUGGCGAGUGGCGAACGGGUGAGUAAUGCAUCGGAACGUAUCCUGGAGUGGGGGAUAACGUAGCGAAAGUUACGCUAAUACCGCAUAUUCUGUGAGCAGGAAAGCGGGGGACCUUCGGGCCUCGCGCUCUUGGAGCGGCCGAUGUCGGAUUAGCUAGUUGGUGAGGUAAAGGCUCACCAAGGCGACGAUCCGUAGCAGGUCUGAGAGGAUGAUCUGCCACACUGGAACUGAGACACGGUCCAGACUCCUACGGGAGGCAGCAGUGGGAAUUUUGGACAAUGGGGGCAACCCUGAUCCAGCCAUGCCGCGUGAGUGAAGAAGGUCUUCGGGUUGUAAAGCUCUUUCGCGAGGGAAGAAAUUGCACCGGACAAUACCUGGUGUAGAUGACGGUACCUUGAUAAGAAGCACCGGCUAACUACGUGCCAG
RNAcentral lists this ribosomal RNA (508 nucleotides) under bacterium enrichment culture clone ALO1_GLFRUDD03GHKKK. RNAcentral's name for it is "bacterial SSU rRNA". It matches the Rfam family "Bacterial small subunit ribosomal RNA", at positions 9 to 511 of the family's 1533-position model. The record is from RNAcentral.